UACAGAGGGUGCGAGCGUUGUCCGGAAUCACUGGGCGUAAAGGGCGCGUAGGCGGCUUGAUAAGCGUGCGGUGAAAGCCCGGGGCUCAACCCCGGGUCGGCCGUGCGAACUGUCGAGCUGGAGCACUGUAGAGGCAGGUGGAAUUCCGGGUGUAGCGGUGGAGUGCGUAGAGAUCCGGAAGAACACCGGUGGCGAAGGCGGCCUGCUGGGCAGUGGCUGACGCUGAGGCGCGACAGCGUGGGGAGCAAACAGG
RNAcentral lists this ribosomal RNA (253 nucleotides) under uncultured bacterium. Its description in RNAcentral is "partial 16S ribosomal RNA". It matches the Rfam family "Bacterial small subunit ribosomal RNA", at positions 524 to 776 of the family's 1533-position model. The record is from RNAcentral.